CAGUCGCCGCGGUAAUACGUAGGUGGCAAGCGUUGUCCGGAAUUAUUGGGCGUAAAGGGCUCGCAGGCGGUUUCUUAAGUCUGAUGUGAAAGCCCCCGGCUCAACCGGGGAGGGUCAUUGGAAACUGGGAAACUAGAGUGCAGAAGAGGAGAGUGGAAUUCCACGUGUAGCGGUGAAAUGCGUAGAGAUGUGGAGGAACACCAGUGGCGAAGGCGACUCUCUGGUCUGUAACUGACGCUGAGGAGCGAAAGCGUGGGGAGCGAACAGGAUUAGAUACCCCUGUAGUCCCUGUCUCUUAUAC
Molecule: ribosomal RNA, 301 nt
Filed under: uncultured bacterium
Lineage: Bacteria
Description: partial 16S ribosomal RNA
Rfam family: Bacterial small subunit ribosomal RNA
Source: RNAcentral